This 452-nucleotide long non-coding RNA is filed under the name Carica papaya (papaya). RNAcentral's name for it is "long non-coding RNA (CPAP_LNC011289)". Lineage: Eukaryota; Viridiplantae; Streptophyta; Magnoliopsida; Brassicales; Caricaceae. The record is from RNAcentral.
UGAAUUUUUUCAAACACUCGAGGCACACCAGCUAAAAAUGUUGGCUUCAACUCCAUUAUAUCAUCCCGCAAUGCAUUUAAGUCCUUCAAGAUAAUACAUUUAAGUUUCAAUAACAAAUUAGUAUUAUAAUAUAUAUAUUAUUCUCAACUUUGUUUUCGCUUUUUUAAUCAUUCUCUUAUUUUUCAUCCUCCUCAAACUGACUACAAAAUCAGAUCCAAAUCACAAAGCAGAGAGUUUCUAUUUCUUACACCAUGGUAAUAGCCAACAGAAGCGCCUUUAUGGAAGAAAUAUUCCUCAAUACCACGGUCUAGGAUAUGAGCAAGUGGAAGAAAGGAUAGAUAGACAUCAUCCACUGUCAUCUAUGUCGAGCCCCCAAAAAAACAAAACAUCAGAUGCACGAGACAUGCAAGAAGAAUAAUGCAGUCCAAAUAAGAAGCAUGUAAACCAUGAAA